UACGUAGGGUGCGAGCGUUGUCCGGAAUUAUUGGGCGUAAAGAGCUCGUAGGCGGUGUGUCGCGUCGGCCGUGAAAACCUGGGGCUCAACUCUGGGCGUGCGGUCGAUACGGGCAUCACUUGAGUUCGGCAGGGGAGACUGGAAUUCCUGGUGUAGCGGUGAAAUGCGCAGAUAUCAGGAGGAACACCGGUGGCGAAGGCGGGUCUCUGGGGCAACAACUGACGCUGAGGAGCG
Molecule: ribosomal RNA, 234 nt
Filed under: uncultured bacterium
Lineage: Bacteria
Description: partial 16S ribosomal RNA
Rfam family: Bacterial small subunit ribosomal RNA
Source: RNAcentral